This 401-nucleotide ribosomal RNA is filed under the name uncultured Blastocladiomycota. Its description in RNAcentral is "partial small subunit ribosomal RNA". It matches the Rfam family "Eukaryotic small subunit ribosomal RNA", at positions 30 to 432 of the family's 1831-position model. The record is from RNAcentral. Lineage: Eukaryota; Fungi; Blastocladiomycota.
GCUUGUCUCAAAGAUUAAGCCAUGCAUGUCUAUGUAUAAACAAGUAUACUGUGAAACUGCGAAUGGCUCAUUAAAUCAGUUAUAGUUUAUUUGAUAGUACCUUACUACUUGGAUAACCGUGGUAAUUCUAGAGCUAAUACAUGCUAAAAAACCCGACUUCUGGAAGGGUUGUAUUUAUUAGAUACAAAACCAACCCGGGCAACCGGUCCUUUGGUGAUUCAUGAUAACUUUGCGAAUCGCAUAGCUUUAAUGCUGGCGAUGGGUCAUUCAAAUUUCUGCCCUAUCAACUUUCGACGGUAGGAUAGAGGCCUACUGUGGUGAUAACGGGUAACGAAGAAUAAGGGUUCGAUUUCGGAGAGGGAGCCUGAGAAACGGCUACCACAUCCAAGGAAGGCAGCAGG